Molecule: unclassified non-coding RNA, 170 nt
Filed under: uncultured Hypomyces
Lineage: Eukaryota; Fungi; Ascomycota; Sordariomycetes; Hypocreales; Hypocreaceae
Description: sequence contains ITS2
Source: RNAcentral
CAACCCUCAAGCCCCCCUGGGGCUUGGUGUUGGGGACCGGCCCCGCCCUGCUGCAGGAUGCCGACCCCGAAAUACAGUGGCAGUCUCGCUGCGGCCUCCUAUGCGUAGUACCUGAAACGUCGCACUGGAGCCCGGCGCGGCUACGCCGUUAAACCCCCGACUUUGCAAAA